GAGGGAUUAGUGUAAUGGUAGCACGAGGGUUUCUGAUACCCUUAGUAAGAGUUCAAAUCUCUUAUCCCUUA
Molecule: transfer RNA, 71 nt
Filed under: Phycisphaerales bacterium
Lineage: Bacteria; Pseudomonadati; Planctomycetota; Phycisphaerae; Phycisphaerales
Description: tRNA-Gln
Rfam family: tRNA
About the family: Transfer RNA (tRNA) molecules are approximately 80 nucleotides in length. Their secondary structure includes four short double-helical elements and three loops (D, anti-codon, and T loops).
Source: RNAcentral